This is a long non-coding RNA of Prinia subflava (tawny-flanked prinia), 1376 nucleotides long. RefSeq lists it as uncharacterized. The record is from RefSeq and is a predicted model, not a curated record. The transcript is spliced from 3 exons. Lineage: Eukaryota; Metazoa; Chordata; Aves; Passeriformes; Cisticolidae.
GCUCAUUUCAGCCUGGGAAGAGCCACAGCUCACCCAGGUCUGUCUGAGGCACAGCAGAUGGCACAGCACAGCCACACGGCACACACAGAGCCCUGGGCCAGCAGCACCUGCUGCUCCAGAAGGAGCCCAGCUGUCUGUGCAGCUUCUGGAGCUGCCUGCCAAGUCCCUCCACACGCUGGGCUCGGGGAUGAGUCCCCACACAGCUGCCAUGGGGAACCCAGGGCAGGAUCAUCCACUCCACGAUGGUGGGAGGCGGCCCCUGCAUGUGGAGGUCUGUCCUGACGAUGUGCUGCGACGCCAGCAGGAGCAUGAACAGGAAGGUCAGAAACCAAUAUGAUUGGAUGGCAAAGUUAACACCUCUUCAACCACACUGAGAGCCAUCAAGAAGUCCCUCCUCUAAAAAGGAAUGAACAACAAAGAUACAAUAAAGAAAACAUCUCUUCUUGUUUACAGCAAAUCGCCUGGGAAAGAAAUUUCACCAACCAAAACAUCUCAGGCAUGAAAUCAGGGCUACAGGAUUUAGGAUUCCUUCUCAUGGAAGAGACUUUUUUUCCUGCUUGCAGCAUCCUUGUGUGGAUCUCACACACACAGCCCCGUGCACAAGCAGCACCACGAGGAUUACUACAAGCUGCUCCUCUCCCCAUGUGUUGGAGCACGUUCUUUUUCAGAAUGUUUCAGGUUUCCAUCGCCUCGAACGAGUCACAGCCAGCACCUUUAAAAAAAGUGACUAAAGAUGAGGCAGGAGGGAAGAGGUGCAAAGCUCUGGGAGCUGUGUGAGAGGGAGAGCGUCUCGCAGAGUGUGUGUGUGUGGGCUGGCAGGAGACAGCAGACAGCACCAGGUGUGGCCAGGUGACAUCUGCUGGGGGGCAGGACACACAUCUGGGACCCUGCCUGGCUGCUCAGGAGGGCAGUGUAGGAAAGCACCCCUCACAUCCAAGUUCUGUGUAAGGAAAGAAGUUUCAGUUUACCUCUAGACACAUUAGGAACUUCAGCUGGAACUUUCCUUGCUUCUCUCACGACAAUUGGCUCAGGGACAAGGCAGAGGAACCUGCUGGACUUUCUGGAUGCUCUUUAGAAGCUGUCCCUGUUGUGAUUGGCAGUUUGCCAAUUAAGCCCUCCUGGGUCAUUAAGCAGGUGAGGGAAAGAACAAAGGUGCUCAGGGCAUUUUCGGGAUGUCAUAGCAGGUGUAUGGACUUUGUUCCUAACACUGUGCACGGCUUUGUUCUGUGUUUUUGUAUUAUUUCCUUUCUUUUAUUAAAACCUUUUUGCUUUUUCAAGACACACUCGACCCUGGUCUCACUAAAUUCUUUAAGCCAUUUCUGCAGGGCUGGCCCCUCAGAGUUGUUGGGAACCCCAGAAGGGAGCAGCUGUAAAAC